GAAUGCUGACAUAAGUAACGAUAAAGCGGGUGAAAAGCCCGCUCGCCGGAAGACCAAGGGUUCCUGUCCAACGUUAAUCGGGGCAGGGUGAGUCGACCCCUAAGGCGAGGCCGAAAGGCGUAGUCGAUGGGAAACAGGUUAAUAUUCCUGUACUUGGUGUUACUGCGAAGGGGGGACGGAGAAGGCUAUGUUGGCCGGGCGACGGUUGUCCCGGUUUAAGCGUGUAGGCUGAUUUUCCAGGCAAAUCCGGAAAAUCAAGGCUGAGGCGUGAUGACGAGGCACUACGGUGCUGAAGCAACAAAUGCCCUGCUUCCAGGAAAAGCCUCUAAGCAUCAGGUAACAUCAAAUCGUACCCCAAACCGACACAGGUGGUCAGGUAGAGAAUACCAAGGCGCUUGAGAGAACUCGGGUGAAGGAACUAGGCAAAAUGGUGCCGUAACUUCGGGAGAAGGCACGCUGAUAUGUAGGUGAAGCGACUUGCUCGUGGAGCUGAAAUCAGUCGAAGAUACCAGCUGGCUGCAACUGUUUAUUAAAAACACAGCACUGUGCAAACACGAAAGUGGACGUAUACGGUGUGACGCCUGCCCGGUGCCGGAAGGUUAAUUGAUGGGGUUAGCGGUAACGCGAAGCUCUUGAUCGAAGCCCCGGUAAACGGCGGCCGUAACUAUAACGGUCCUAAGGUAGCGAAAUUCCUUGUCGGGUAAGUUCCGACCUGCACGAAUGGCGUAAUGAUGGCCAGGCUGUCUCCACCCGAGACUCAGUGAAAUUGAACUCGCUGUGAAGAUGCAGUGUACCCGCGGCAAGACGGAAAGACCCCGUGAACCUUUACUAUAGCUUGACACUGAACAUUGAGCCUUGAUGUGUAGGAUAGGUGGGAGGCUUUGAAGUGUGGACGCCAGUCUGCAUGGAGCCGACCUUGAAAUACCACCCUUUAAUGUUUGAUGUUCUAACGUUGGCCCGUUAUCCGGGUUGCGGACAGUGUCUGGUGGGUAGUUUGACUGGGGCGGUCUCCUCCUAAAGAGUAACGGAGGAGCACGAAGGUUGGCUAAUCCUGGUCGGACAUCAGGAGGUUAGUGCAAUGGCAUAAGCCAGCUUGACUGCGAGCGUGACGGCGCGAGCAGGUGCGAAAGCAGGUCAUAGUGAUCCGGUGGUUCUGAAUGGAAGGGCCAUCGCUCAACGGAUAAAAGGUACUCCGGGGAUAACAGGCUGAUACCGCCCAAGAGUUCAUAUCGACGGCGGUGUUUGGCACCUCGAUGUCGGCUCAUCACAUCCUGGGGCUGAAGUAGGUCCCAAGGGUAUGGCUGUUCGCCAUUUAAAGUGGUACGCGAGCUGGGUUUAGAACGUCGUGAGACAGUUCGGUCCCUAUCUGCCGUGGGCGCUGGAGAACUGAGGGGGGCUGCUCCUAGUACGAGAGGACCGGAGUGGACGCAUCACUGGUGUUCGGGUUGUCAUGCCAAUGGCACUGCCCGGUAGCUAAAUGCGGAAGAGAUAAGUGCUGAAAGCAUCUAAGCACGAAACUUGCCCCGAGA
RNAcentral lists this ribosomal RNA (1529 nucleotides) under Escherichia coli. Its description in RNAcentral is "partial 23S ribosomal RNA". It matches the Rfam family "Bacterial large subunit ribosomal RNA", at positions 1292 to 2804 of the family's 2925-position model. The record is from RNAcentral. Lineage: Bacteria; Pseudomonadati; Pseudomonadota; Gammaproteobacteria; Enterobacterales; Enterobacteriaceae.